GACGAACGCUGGCGGCGUGCCUAAUACAUGCCAGUCGAACGCAUUUUCUUUCACCGUAGCUUGCUACACCGAAAGAAAAUGAGUGGCGAACGGGUGAGUAACACGUGGGUAACCUGCCCAUCAGCGGGGGAUAACACUUGGAAACAGGUGCUAAUACCGCAUAAUUCCAUUUACUGCAUGGUAGAUGGAUGAAAGGCGCUUUUGCGUCACUGAUGGAUGGACCCGCGGUGCAUUAGCUAGUUGGUGGGGUAACGGCCUACCAAGGCUGCGAUGCAUAGCCGACCUGAGAGGGUGAUCGGCCACACUGGGACUGAGACACGGCCCAGACUCCUACGGGAGGCAGCAGUAGGGAAUCUUCGGCAAUGGACGCAAGUCUGACCGAGCAACGCCGCGUGAGUGAAGAAGGUUUUCGGAUCGUAAAACUCUGUUGUUAGAAAAGAACAAGGAUGAGAGUGGAAAGUUCAUCCCUUGACGGUAUCUAACCAGAAAGCCCCGGCUAACUACGUG
This 507-nucleotide ribosomal RNA is filed under the name uncultured bacterium. RNAcentral's name for it is "partial 16S ribosomal RNA". It matches the Rfam family "Bacterial small subunit ribosomal RNA", at positions 28 to 507 of the family's 1533-position model. The record is from RNAcentral.